GUAGUCUGCCAUACGCAGGAAGACCCGCUGAACUGAAGCAUCUCAUUAAGCGGAGGAAAAGAAACUAACUAGGAUUCCCUUAGUAAAGGCGAUCGAAAAGGGAACAGCCCAACGUCUUAAUCCCGCAAGGGAAAUGUAGUCGGUUCACCUAUUGCACUGGUCUAAGUCAGAUGGAAUGCUGCGCGAUUCAGAGUAAAAGCCUCGUAUGACCAACCGCAAGCUUACGAUGGACCGGGGAGAGUCGGAUACUUUGAGAGUAGUGUCUUAAGGGGGUGGUAUGUCCCAUCCAAGGCUAAAUAACGUGAGGAGACCGAUAGAUUACAAGUAGUGUGAACGAAAGAUGAAAAGAACUCUAAAACAGAGGGUGAAAAGUUCCUGAACUUGCUUAGGGUUAAGGCUAUUUAUAGUACCCGUCUUGAAACACGGAUUAGGGAGUUUAUAUGUAGUGCGAGUCUUUGCACGUUAACUGUAAAGGCGUAGAGAAAGCAACUGGCGUUUGCAUGGCUACUGAGCAUUACUGAUAGGACCCGAAAGGUGGUGAACUUUGCCUGCACAGGUUGAAGUCAGGGGAAACUCUGAUG
Molecule: non-coding RNA, 581 nt
Organism: Trichomonas vaginalis G3
Lineage: Eukaryota; Parabasalia; Trichomonadida; Trichomonadidae
Source: Rfam